AUUGAACGCUGGCGGCAGGCCUAACACAUGCAAGUCGAGCGGAUGAAGGGAGCUUGCUCCUGGAUUCAGCGGCGGACGGGUGAGUAAUGCCUAGGAAUCUGCCUGGUAGUGGGGGAUAACGUCCGGAAACGGGCGCUAAUACCGCAUACGUCCUGAGGGAGAAAGUGGGGGAUCUUCGGACCUCACGCUAUCAGAUGAGCCUAGGUCGGAUUAGCUAGUUGGGGGGGUAAAGGCCUACCAAGGCGACGAUCCGUAACUGGUCUGAGAGGAUGAUCAGUCACACUGGAACUGAGACACGGUCCAGACUCCUGCGGGAGGCAGCAGUGGGGAAUAUUGGACAAUGGGCGAAAGCCUGAUCCAGCCAUGCCGCGUGUGUGAAGAAGGUCUUCGGAUUGUAAAGCACUUUAAGUUGGGAGGAAGGGCAGUAAGUUAAUACCUUGCUGUUUUGACGUUACCAACAGAAUAAGCACCGGCUAACUUCGUG
Molecule: ribosomal RNA, 484 nt
Filed under: uncultured bacterium
Lineage: Bacteria
Description: partial 16S ribosomal RNA
Rfam family: Bacterial small subunit ribosomal RNA
Source: RNAcentral